Molecule: ribosomal RNA, 1484 nt
Filed under: uncultured bacterium
Lineage: Bacteria
Description: 16S ribosomal RNA
Rfam family: Bacterial small subunit ribosomal RNA
Source: RNAcentral
UAGAGUUUGAUCCUGGCUCAGGAUGAACGCUAGCGACAGGCUUAACACAUGCAAGUCGAGGGGCAGCACAGGUAGCAAUACCGGGUGGCGACCGGCGCACGGGUGAGUAACGCGUAUGCAACUUACCUAUCAGAGGGGGAUAACCCGGCGAAAGUCGGACUAAUACCGCAUGAAGCAGGGGCCCCGCAUGGGGAUAUUUGCUAAAGAUUCAUCGCUGAUAGAUAGGCAUGCGUUCCAUUAGGCAGUUGGCGGGGUAACGGCCCACCAAACCGACGAUGGAUAGGGGUUCUGAGAGGAAGGUCCCCCACAUUGGUACUGAGACACGGACCAAACUCCUACGGGAGGCAGCAGUGAGGAAUAUUGGUCAAUGGGCGUAAGCCUGAACCAGCCAAGUCGCGUGAGGGAUGAAGGUUCUAUGGAUCGUAAACCUCUUUUAUAAGGGAAUAAAGUGCGGGACGUGUCCCGUUUUGUAUGUACCUUAUGAAUAAGGAUCGGCUAACUCCGUGCCAGCAGCCGCGGUAAUACGGAGGAUCCGAGCGUUAUCCGGAUUUAUUGGGUUUAAAGGGUGCGUAGGCGGCCUUUUAAGUCAGCGGUGAAAGUCUGUGGCUCAACCAUAGAAUUGCCGUUGAAACUGGGGGGCUUGAGUAUGUUUGAGGCAGGCGGAAUGCGUGGUGUAGCGGUGAAAUGCUUAGAUAUCACGCAGAACCCCGAUUGUGAAGGCAGCCUGCCAAGCCAUGACUGACGCUGAUGCACUAAAGCGUGGGGAUCAAACAGGAUUAGAUACCCUGGUAGUCCACGCAGUAAACGAUGAUCACUAGCUGUUUGCGAUACAGUGUAAGCGGCACAGCGAAAGCGUUAAGUGAUCCACCUGGGGAGUACGCCGGCAACGGUGAAACUCAAAGGAAUUGACGGGGGCCCGCACAAGCGGAGGAACAUGUGGUUUAAUUCGAUGAUACGCGAGGAACCUUACCCGGGUUUGAACGCAUUCGGACCGAGGUGGAAACACCUCUUCUAGCAAUAGCCGUUUGCGAGGUGCUGCAUGGUUGUCGUCAGCUCGUGCCGUGAGGUGUCGGCUUAAGUGCCAUAACGAGCGCAACCCUUGCCACUAGUUACUAACAGGUGAUGCUGAGGACUCUGGUGGGACUGCCAGCGUAAGCUGCGAGGAAGGCGGGGAUGACGUCAAAUCAGCACGGCCCUUACAUCCGGGGCGACACACGUGUUACAAUGGCGUGGACAAAGGGAUGCCACCUGGCGACAGGGAGCGAAUCCCCAAACCACGUCUCAGUUCGGAUCGGAGUCUGCAACCCGACUCCGUGAAGCUGGAUUCGCUAGUAAUCGCGCAUCAGCCAUGGCGCGGUGAAUACGUUCCCGGGCCUUGUACACACCGCCCGUCAAGCCAUGGGAGCCGGGGGUACCUGAAGUCCGUAACCGCGAGGAUCGGCCUAGGGUAAAACUGGUGACUGGGGCUAAGUCGUAACAAGGUA